RNAcentral lists this long non-coding RNA (281 nucleotides) under Populus tremula. RNAcentral's name for it is "long non-coding RNA (PTRE_LNC001668)". The record is from RNAcentral. Lineage: Eukaryota; Viridiplantae; Streptophyta; Magnoliopsida; Malpighiales; Salicaceae.
UUUUUCAUGAAAACAUGAUUCACUUGUGUUGGGAUGGUGGUGAAGGUGCAUAGGUAGCUUCUUGAAAAUAUGGUCUUGGUGGUUGUGGAGGUUCUUGAUAGUAGUGUGAGGAGGGAGGUUGUGGUUGGUGGAAAGAUGGUGGUUGUGGAGGUUCUUGAUAGUAGUGUGAGGAGGGAGGUGGUGGUUGGUGGAAAGAUGGUGGUUGUGGAGGUUCUUGAUAGUAGUGGGAGGAGGUGGUGGUUGGUGGAAAGAUGGUGGUGUGGGGUAGUGUCUGGUGGCGG